RNAcentral lists this ribosomal RNA (431 nucleotides) under uncultured bacterium. Its description in RNAcentral is "bacterial SSU rRNA". It matches the Rfam family "Bacterial small subunit ribosomal RNA", at positions 29 to 457 of the family's 1533-position model. The record is from RNAcentral.
AUUGAACGCUGGCGGCAUGCCUUACACAUGCAAGUCGAACGGUAACGCGGGGCAACCUGGCGACGAGUGGCGAACGGGUGAGUAACACAUCGGAACGUGCCCAGUAGUGGGGGAUAGCCCGGCGAAAGCCGGAUUAAUACCGCAUACGACCUAAGGGUGAAAGCAGGGGAUCGCAAGACCUUGCGCUAUUGGAGCGGCCGAUGUCAGAUUAGGUAGUUGGUGGGGUAAAAGCCUACCAAGCCGACGAUCUGUAGCUGGUCUGAGAGGACGACCAGCCACACUGGGACUGAGACACGGCCCAGACUCCUACGGGAGGCAGCAGUGGGGAAUUUUGGACAAUGGGCGCAAGCCUGAUCCAGCCAUGCCGCGUGCGGGAAGAAGGGCCUUCGGGUUGUAAACCGGACCUUUUGUUCUAGGGAAGAAACGGUACU